Molecule: long non-coding RNA, 750 nt
Organism: Leopardus geoffroyi (Geoffroy's cat)
Lineage: Eukaryota; Metazoa; Chordata; Mammalia; Carnivora; Felidae
Exons: 5
Source: RefSeq, a predicted model, not a curated record
AAGAGAUCUCCUGAGAAAGUCUGUUUUGUUUGAAGAGUGUUUAAUAGAUAGAAGGUGCUUCCUUUUUAGGAGCUGAAAUUUACCUUCUAACCAUUCCUUUCAGUCCAAUGAAGAUUCCCUACUGCAAGAAGGGUGUAGGAAUACCACAAAAAGGCUUAUGCAAUACAAGAUGCCUGCUGCCCUUCUAGGAAGAAUCUCUUACUGAAAUGAAAGAAACAAGACCAACGAGAUGACAUUGCCUGCUGGCGGAGGGAGGAUGCAGACUAGCAGGGAGAAAACCAUACUAGCUCUCCCAGGGUGAUGUCCAUCUCCAAAAAAUGAACAUUUCAUGUGAUGUCCCAUAACUGCUCCUUGGUCUGGUCUAUCUUCGUUUUAAUUAAAACUCAGAUGUUCACUAUCCUCACAUUAGCCCAUAUUUGGCCUCUACCAAUUGGUUGAAAUUUUUGGCUGAGUCAUUCUUACUGGACUGUGUGGUGUUAAGACAGCUGACACCACCUUCCAGGGCCUUUGCCUGAAAUAGCGCCUGAUUAGCUUCAACCUCUUCCUUGUCUUGGAUCCUGCACUCCUGUAUUGAUUUCUCCUGGAAGCACUUUCCUAUUAAACCACUUACACCUGAAUCCUCGGGUUAGGAUCUACUUCCGGGGAAUCCAGCCCGAGACCUUGGCAAACCCAAGGCUUUUCCACCAGCCCCGUCUCCUCAGGAUUUGCCCGCUGCCUUCUGUGUCGAUCUCCAGCACUGCGGCGCAAGAA